ACCAUCGGAUCGGUCAAUACUUCUUGUGUGUGUGACCCCAUAGGUUCUACUCUGACUGGUAGUGAGAUAUAUUAUGAUCUCCAUCAUAAUAUCAUUGAAAACUCCUUUCAAUGGAUUGGAACGAUUCCAACUCUACUCAUUAGGGUUUAUCGAUCAUCGAGAUAAUCCCUGUGAGUCCCACCAUCCACCAGUGACACCUAGCAGCAUGUAGUGGCUACCCAGUAGAAUAGAAUGAUGAACCUUUAGGUGCAGUUAUCAUAUGAUACAGUCCU
This 272-nucleotide long non-coding RNA is filed under the name Phoenix dactylifera (date palm). Its description in RNAcentral is "long non-coding RNA (PDAC_LNC010643)". Lineage: Eukaryota; Viridiplantae; Streptophyta; Magnoliopsida; Arecales; Arecaceae. The record is from RNAcentral.